UACAGGGGGUGCAAACGUUGCUCGGAAUCAUUGGGCGUAAAGCGCACGUAGGCGGUCUGUUAUGUCGGAUGUGAAAGCCCUUGGCUUAACUGAGGAAGUGCAUCCGAAACUGGCAGGCUAGAGUACUAAAGAGGGUCGCGGAAUUCCCGGUGUAGAGGUGAAAUUCGUAGAUAUCGGGAGGAACACCGGUGACGAAGGCGGCGACCUGGGUAGAUACUGACGCUGAGGUGCGAAAGCGUGGGGAGCAAACAGG
Molecule: ribosomal RNA, 253 nt
Filed under: uncultured bacterium
Lineage: Bacteria
Description: partial 16S ribosomal RNA
Rfam family: Bacterial small subunit ribosomal RNA
Source: RNAcentral